GUGCAGCAGUCGCGAAACUUUACAAUGUGCGAAGCACGAUAAGGGAACUCUGAGUGCCUCCUAAGGAGGCUGUUCAGGUGUCUAAAAGCACCUGAAGGAAGGGCUGGGUAAGACCGGUGCCAGCCGCCGCGGUAACACCGGCAGCCCAAGUGGUAGCCACGUUUAUUGGGUCUAAAGCGUCCGUAGCCGGCUGGGGUAAGUUCCUUGGGAAAUUUGGCUGCUUAACAGUCAAGCUUUCAGGGAAUACUGCCCGGCUUGGGACCGGGAGAGGUCAGAGGUACUCCAGGGGUAGGGGUGAAAUCCAUUAAUCCUUGGGGGACCACCGGUAGCGAAGGCGUCUGACCAGACCGGGUCCGACGGUGAGGGACGAAGGCUAGGGGCGCGAACCGGAUUAGAUACCCGUGUAGU
RNAcentral lists this ribosomal RNA (408 nucleotides) under uncultured microorganism. RNAcentral describes it as "bacterial SSU rRNA". It matches the Rfam family "Archaeal small subunit ribosomal RNA", at positions 330 to 745 of the family's 1478-position model. The record is from RNAcentral.